RNAcentral lists this ribosomal RNA (473 nucleotides) under uncultured bacterium. Its description in RNAcentral is "bacterial SSU rRNA". It matches the Rfam family "Bacterial small subunit ribosomal RNA", at positions 33 to 518 of the family's 1533-position model. The record is from RNAcentral.
AGGACGACGCUGGCGGCGUGCCUAACACAUGCAAGUCGAGCGAGGAGAUCCUCGGGAUGAUCCUAGCGGCGGACGGGUGAGUAACACGUGGGCAACCUGCCUCAUAGAGAGGAAUAGCCUUCCGAAAGGGAGAUUAAUACCUCAUAACAUUGCAGUUUCGCAUGGAACAGCAAUUAAAGGAGCAAUCCGCUAUGAGAUGGGCCCGCGGCGCAUUAGCUAGUUGGUGAGGUAACGGCUCACCAAGGCGACGAUGCGUAGCCGACCUGAGAGGGUGAUCGGCCACAUUGGGACUGAGACACGGCCCAGACUCCUACGGGAGGCAGCAGUGGGGAAUAUUGCACAAUGGGGGAAACCCUGAUGCAAGCAACGCCGCGUGAGUGAUGACGGCCUUCGGGUUGUAAAGCUCUGUCUUCAGGGACGAUAAUGACGGUACCUGAGGAGGAAGCCACGGCUAACUACGUGCCAGCAGCCGC